CAGAGUUUCAGUUUGAGAAGAUGGAAAGUUCUGGAAAUGGAUGGUGGUGAUGGUUGCACAACAAUGUGAAUGUGCUUAAUGUACUGAACCAUGCACUUAAAAUGUUUAAAUGGCAAAUUUUAUGUUAGGUGUAUUUCACCACCAUUUUUUUUUUUAAAGAUCCUGGAAUUCCAAAUUUUUUUAAAAGAGAAAAAAUGACUUACACACACACACCAAUGAGUGAUCUCUUCAGCUGGCAGCUGGAACCAGACUUCAGGGGGAAAUUCUAGAUCAGACAGAUGUACCAGGAGCUAAACAAGCUUGAGUUUUAUCUGGGAAAUAGCUACUUCUGCUAGAAAGUUCUGGAAACAUGGAUUCCCCCAAACAGAAAACGCCAGCCUGAGACCUCAGACUGAGAACAAUUGCACUCUCUGUGAUUUUGCACUUGUCCCGGGGAAAACUGUGACGCAUGUAUCAAGACAUGUUCUCAAUUUACUGGCACACGUGCACCGAUGGCAUGCAGAAAUCCAGAUGUCAUCUUGGUAUUUAGUGUGACAUCGUCUCUGGCCUCCCUCCCUCCUGUUCCCCCAAAUCAGGAGUAGGUUCACACCACUCCCCCCGAGGGGCUGACAGCCACCAUGCCUGCUGGCCGUGGCUUGUCUCUUCCCUUCCCUCUCAAGCCACCCUCUCUGGGGCACCGGCCUGGUUUUGCAGGGUCGAUGGUCACAAGAACUCACUGAUGCUGAGCUGAAGACUGGACCCUCAAAGCAAGGUGGCAGGGAAUUCUCAUAAUUCCCCCUCCUCCUGUCUCAUUUCCUCACUUCCAUCUUGUGCUCCCUGGGAUCAUCACCCAAAUAAACUGCUUGCACUCUCACAAAAAGUUAAGUAUAGACGAAGGGCGGGUGUAUGCACGGCAGAGGGACAAAGGGGUGGACUGUGUGGACCGCCUGCCGGCCCAGCGUGUUGCCUAAGGCUGGAGAGGAUGUUUCUCUGAAUCCUCUCCCGGAGUGAGGCUGGGUUAGAGCUGGCCAACGUGAAGAACUGGUGGCAAGAUUUGGAAGGUGGAGUGAAGUGAGAGCCGGCCUUCUCGGGAGGCCCCGGCUCUGCCGACGUCUCCGUGAGCUGCUACUCCAGGCUCCUGGCGGCCAGAUGCGGUGACUUCUCUGGCUUCUCCAGUUUCCGCACGCACACCAGGCUCCAGGCUGGAUGACGUCUCUGUUUCCUGAUCCAACUCUGAGAGAGAGACGGAGAGGGCAAGGAGGCAGGAGGGGGAUGCUGCAGGGAAACCUAUGGACUCAAAUAGAAAAAAGCAGCAUAUCAACCAAUGGACCCUGUUUGGAUCCUGAUUCACACCCAGAGAAUUGUAAAAAGAAAUAAAUGAAAACAAG
This 1367-nucleotide long non-coding RNA is filed under the name Equus caballus (horse). RNAcentral describes it as "lncRNA (ENSECAG00000049671.1)". Lineage: Eukaryota; Metazoa; Chordata; Mammalia; Perissodactyla; Equidae. The record is from RNAcentral.